This 374-nucleotide ribosomal RNA is filed under the name uncultured Smithella sp. RNAcentral's name for it is "bacterial SSU rRNA". It matches the Rfam family "Bacterial small subunit ribosomal RNA", at positions 1011 to 1382 of the family's 1533-position model. Lineage: Bacteria; Pseudomonadati; Thermodesulfobacteriota; Syntrophia; Syntrophales; Smithellaceae. The record is from RNAcentral.
GAAGUGCCUUUCGGGGAGCCCGGUGACAGGUGCUGCAUGGCUGUCGUCAGCUCGUGUCGUGAGAUGUUGGGUUUAAGUCCCGCAACGAGCGCAACCCCUAUCUUUAAUUGCCAUCAUUCAGUUGGGCACUUUAGAGAGACUGCCGGUGUUAAGCCGGAGGAAGGUGGGGAUGACGUCAAGUCCUCAUGGCCUUUAUGUCUAGGGCUACACACGUGCUACAAUGGGUGGUACAAAGAGCAGCUAACUCGCGAGAGUAUGCAAAUCUCAAAAAGCCAUCCUCAGUUCGGAUUGGAGUCUGCAACUCGACUCCAUGAAGUUGGAAUCGCUAGUAAUCGCGGAUCAGCAUGCCGCGGUCGAAUACGUUCCCGGGCCUU